GCUUAACACAUGCAAGUCGAGGGGAAACGACAUCGAAAGCUUGCUUUUGAUGGGCGUCGACCGGCGCACGGGUGAGUAACGCGUAUCCAACCUGCCCAUCACUUGGGGAUAACCUUGCGAAAGUAAGACUAAUACCCAAUGAUAUCUCUAGAAGACAUCUGAAGGAGAUUAAAGAUUUAUCGGUGAUGGAUGGGGAUGCGUCUGAUUAGCUUGUUGGCGGGGUAACGGCCCACCAAGGCGACGAUCAGUAGGGGUUCUGAGAGGAAGGUCCCCCACAUUGGAACUGAGACACGGUCCAAACUCCUACGGGAGGCAGCAGUGAGGAAUAUUGGUCAAUGGGCGAGAGCCUGAACCAGCCAAGUAGCGUGCAGGAUGACGGCCCUAUGGGUUGUAAACUGCUUUUAUAAGGGAAUAAAGUGAGUCUCGUGAGACUUUUUGCAUGUACCUUAUGAAUAAGGACCGGCUAAUUCCGUGCCAGCAGCCGCGGUAAUACGGAAGGUCCGGGCGUUAUCCGGAUUUAUUGGGUUUAAAGGGAGCGUAGGCCGGAGAUUAAGCGUGUUGUGAAAUGUAGACGCUCAACGUCUGCACUGCAGCGCGAACUGGUUUCCUUGAGUACGCACAAAGUGGGCGGAAUUCGUGGUGUAGCGGUGAAAUGCUUAGAUAUGACGAAGAACUCCGAUUGCGAAGGCAGCCUGCUGUAGCGCAACUGACGCUGAAGCUCGAAAGCGUGGGUAUCGAACAGGAUUAGAUACCCUGGUAGUCCACGCGGUAAACGAUGGAUGCUCGCUGUUUGCGUCUGACGUAAGCGGCCAAGCGAAAGCGUUAAGCAUCCCACCUGGGGAGUACGGUCGCAAGACUGAAACUCAAAGGAAUUGACGG
Molecule: ribosomal RNA, 879 nt
Filed under: uncultured bacterium
Lineage: Bacteria
Description: bacterial SSU rRNA
Rfam family: Bacterial small subunit ribosomal RNA
Source: RNAcentral